UGUUCAUAGCAGAAUUAUUCUAACAGUCAAAAAGUGGAAAUUCACCAAAAGUUCCAUCAACAGAAGAACCUCUCAAAAAAUAAAGAGUAUUACUAGAUCUUCUCUUUUGUAAAUGUCUGUAUCAGCACAAAAGUGGGCCUUUACCAACUUACUUUUUAUUCCACGUCUCUAUUUCAUGAUAUCUUCCUAGCAUAAGAUCAGGUUUAAUGUAGAGUUUCAUUACUUUUUAUAGCUUUGUUUUCAACAGCAAAGUCACUGACGAGUCACACAUUCAGUUCUCAAUUUAGAGCACUUUUUAAAUCAGUAACAUGUUGUCCUCGAGACCAGAGAGAACUAAGAGCAAGCCACGGGCAGGUGUGAACAUUCCGAAUCAUUCAUCCAGUAAGCAUUUCACCGAGCACUCACGGAUCCCAGGCUGCUGCUAUGUGCUGGGAACAGGUCAGUGAGCAAGAAUGAUGUGGACUCUGCCCCGUGGACAGUUCAGGGGACCAUCAGUCAGAUGUGCUAGAUGGGAAGAGCACAC
Non-coding RNA from Vicugna pacos (alpaca), 523 nucleotides. Lineage: Eukaryota; Metazoa; Chordata; Mammalia; Artiodactyla; Camelidae. The record is from RefSeq and is a predicted model, not a curated record.